UACAUAGGGGGCGAGCGUUAUCCGGAAUUAUUGGGCGUAAAGGGUACGUAGGCGGGCCUGCAAGUCUGAUUUGAAAGCACACGGCUUAACCGUGUGAGGUAAUUAGAAACUACAGGUCUAGAGAGUGGUAGAGGUAAAUGGAAUUCCAAGUGGAGCGGUGAAAUGCGUAGAGAUUUGGAGGAACACCAGUGGCGAAGGCGGUUUACUGGGCCACAUCUGACGCUGAUGUACGAAAGCGUGGGGAGCAAACAGGAUUAGAUACCCUGGUAGUCCACGCCGUAAACGAUGAGUGCUAAGUAUCGGUAGAAUCGGUGCUCAAGCUAACGCAGUAAGCACUCCGCCUGGGGAGUACGGUCGCAAGAUUAAA
RNAcentral lists this ribosomal RNA (367 nucleotides) under uncultured bacterium. RNAcentral's name for it is "bacterial SSU rRNA". It matches the Rfam family "Bacterial small subunit ribosomal RNA", at positions 524 to 898 of the family's 1533-position model. The record is from RNAcentral.